UACGGAGGGGGCAAGCGUUAUUCGGAAUCAUUGGGCGUAAAGGGCGCGUAGGCGGCUUGGCAAGUCAAAGGUGAAAUCCCUGGGCUCAACCCAGGAACUGCGUCCGAUACUGGAAGGCUUGAAUCCGGGAGAGGGAUGCGGAAUUCCAGGUGUAGCGGUGAAAUGCGUAGAUAUCUGGAGGAACACCGGUGGCGAAGGCGGCAUCCUGGACCGGUAUUGACGCUGAGGCGCGAAAGCCAGGGGAGCAAACGGG
This 253-nucleotide ribosomal RNA is filed under the name uncultured bacterium. RNAcentral describes it as "partial 16S ribosomal RNA". It matches the Rfam family "Bacterial small subunit ribosomal RNA", at positions 524 to 776 of the family's 1533-position model. The record is from RNAcentral.